CAAAUCAGACAAGGCGACCCGCUG
This 24-nucleotide ribosomal RNA is filed under the name Gracilaria babae. RNAcentral's name for it is "partial 28S ribosomal RNA". Lineage: Eukaryota; Rhodophyta; Florideophyceae; Gracilariales; Gracilariaceae. The record is from RNAcentral.